Molecule: long non-coding RNA, 230 nt
Filed under: Lathyrus oleraceus (garden pea)
Lineage: Eukaryota; Viridiplantae; Streptophyta; Magnoliopsida; Fabales; Fabaceae
Description: Pisum sativum (pea) long non-coding RNA (PSAT_LNC003651)
Source: RNAcentral
AAGAUUGUGCAUGCCUGGCGCCACGUCCAUAAGAAAAGAAGAGAAGUUCUAGGAAAGCUAGAUUGCGUCUCUUUGGAACCUUAUAUCCAAUGGGUGCAAGCUAGGGUCGUCAGUUUGAAAAUGCAUUCUCCUCGACAAGAGUCUUUGUCUUUAAUUAUUAAAUAACCUUCCCUCAUUUUCAUGACUGAUGCGGAGAAACUCAAGAUUGCUUUGACUAGGGUGCAAAGAGA